UUUGAUGAGUUUUGUAGAUUGUGUCCAAAAAUGGCGAUUUUUGGAUGUAUAGAUUAGGAGUUAUGGAUUUUAUGAGAAAAGACUAUUUUAAAAGUAAACUCUUAUAACUCUUUGUGGUUAACUCCAAAAUUAAUAAAAUUUUUAUUGGGAUUACAUCUAUAUAAUAUCAGUAUACCCUGUGAAUUUCGGAAUUUUUGGAUAAAAGUACAAUUUAUGAUAAAUGUUUAAAUAUUCGGUGGUUUUGGCCAUAUGAAAAAUAGUAAAUGAAUUUUUAAAAUUCCGGGAAAAAUAUAUGUUCAAUAUGGGUCAAUAUUAUGCUAAAUCCCAGAAAAAAAAUAUUUUUGGGACUGAUUUGGUAUUUUUCAUGAAAAUGGUCUAGUUAUGACUAAAUGAAUUAAAAAUGUUAUGUGAAGUAAGAAAAUUGGAAAAUAUGAUUUUAUGGCUUGAGAAUCAUAUAUGAGGUAUAUGCAGAUUUUUGAUGAGGG
Molecule: long non-coding RNA, 485 nt
Filed under: Panax ginseng (ginseng)
Lineage: Eukaryota; Viridiplantae; Streptophyta; Magnoliopsida; Apiales; Araliaceae
Description: long non-coding RNA (PGIN_LNC003168)
Source: RNAcentral